RNAcentral lists this transfer RNA (83 nucleotides) under Astyanax mexicanus (Mexican tetra). It matches the Rfam family "tRNA". Rfam says of the family: Transfer RNA (tRNA) molecules are approximately 80 nucleotides in length. Their secondary structure includes four short double-helical elements and three loops (D, anti-codon, and T loops). Lineage: Eukaryota; Metazoa; Chordata; Actinopteri; Characiformes; Acestrorhamphidae. The record is from Rfam by way of RNAcentral.
GUUAGGAUGGCCGAGCGGUCUAUGGCGCUGCGUUCAGGUCGCAGUCUCCUCUGGAGGCGUGGGUUCGAAUCCCACUUCUAACA